GACGGUUAGAGAAAUGGUGUACCAGCUGGGAAGACUUGUUUAUCUUGGGCCAGAUCUCAGAAUGCAGUGAGAAGUUUGCUGGGGGGAGGCUUCAGGAGGCACCCUUUUUAUUGUUGUUACUUACAGAGAGAGGCCUCCUGGGCUUUGUACUCAGCCCUGCUAUCAGCUGCCUGGGAGCUUCUCACCCCAUCAUGCUGUGUUGGAUGGCUUUGCUUGGACCCUGUCGGAUCACAGCUGGGCUUUGCUGAACCCUCUGAGAUGCACCGAAGUCAGGGUAUGCCUGUGGCUGUUCACUACCAGUGUACACAACCAAAAAAACUACUGGGAACAGAAAACUGGAUCCUAAACCCUCUGAGGUCCAAAAUCCUGCGUUGGGUUGGACUCUCCAGGAGCUCUCCGGGAGCAGGGAGUGGCAUUCCCCCUGCCUACAAACAAGAUUGUUUUAGAGUCCUAUUUCAAGUUCAGGCUCAGGAGUCAGGGUAGAGCCAAAACUAAACCCACAUGCCCUGGGUCCUUCUCUUGUUGCUUCGGAGAAAAUGCCUCGGAGCUGUCUCGGUUUGCACUGACACCUCUCAUUAGUCAGCACCAGGCUGCUCCUGGGCACUUUCUGCUUCUGGGCACUUUCUGCUCUGAGCUGGAGGACAUGUUCCUGGUGCUGGGAGCAUGGAUUUGGAAUCCUUUUAGCCACCACUCUGCUUUCUGGCAGCUUUUGAGGUGUGAAAAGGGAGAAAAAGCCGCAGAGCAGCAAUCGGUGCCAGCCCGUUUUGGCUGCUCUAUCAGGGAAGGGAUGGGGUGGCCAAGCCAUGUGGGACCUGGGGCACUGAUGGGCUUGGUGCAGUGCACAAUGGCUGAGUGCUGGAGCCGCGUGUGGGAGACGAAACCACAAGGCAGCAGACAGCUGAAUGGAAUGGCCCCUGUAAAAUUAAUUGCUUGGAGGAGACGGCUCCUGCAAAGAGCUCAGCCCCUGCAGAAGGCACGCCAAGGCAGGCCCUGAGGCAGCUGGGAGGAGCAGGGUCCCGCAGCCCCUCCUGGAGACUGCUCCCAGAUGGUGACAUGAAUGGCAAACCCAGGGCAAGGGAUGAGUCAGGGGGUGCAAGGCACUGAGCGUGUGUCCUGAGAGCAGCGCCUGGCACGGUUCAGAUGUGCACUGAGAACUUGAGUGCUGGCUCUGCCCCACAGCAGGAACAUCGGUGUCCAUGUGCAAACAACACACUGCGGUGAGCUCCUGUGCUGCUACAGAGAACAGAGCCACCCAGGGCUGAGCCCUUCACCUCCCUGCUGCAUUACGUGCUGGCUGAGAGCGCAGAGCCAUACCAGACCUAUGACGAAACAACUGGAGAAACAGAGAACGACGUUGCUUGGAGGUGACUAAGCCAGAGAUGCCAGGAGGAGGCAGGAGCAGCUUGCAUCCAGCUCUGCGUGACCCAGCACGAUUCAGCCCUGUGCAGACACACACACCCGGCAGCCUGGCACUCAGAGCUGAGCAGAAGACACAAGCACAGCCUGGCCAGCUUUCUGCUUGCCCACGGCGACGUGCGGCUCCAUCAGCACAUCACAUGGCAGAGCCAAACCCAUCACCUCCAGAUCCCUCGAGCUACUGCUUCCCCACGGCAUGCAGCACCGGUUCUGCUCCGAGCUCCUGGCUGCAUGGAGCUGCAGCUUCCUGCUCUCCCCUCCUCUGGAAGGGCACAAAGCCACUGACUUGGCUGCCAACUGUAGUGAGGGAUCUUGGCAACACAGUGGCCUCUUCCCAGCAAAAAAUUAAUCUGUUUUCAUUUCUCCCCUCUGCUCCCCAUUAUUUUGAGCAGUGGUGUUUGUUUCCUGAGUGUUGCAACAAGCAGCUGUGAAAGCUUCUGGUGCUGGCAGAAGACAUUGCUCCCCCGUGGCAAACCAGGUCACGGCUGGAGGAACUGGGGGGUGCAUCCCCAGGGAGCUGACAGCAAACCCCCGUCCUGCCAAAAUGAGCUCCCCAGGGAAACGAGGUGGCAAGCUGCGUGGAGCACCUGCUAAGGGAGAAGGAUGCUGAUGGAGAGCCAAGAGCCAAACCCAUGGAAUGGCGCUGGAGCAUGCCCGGCAGCUGUGGGCACGGAGAGGCGGGUGGAACGUCAGCAUCCUGCGGAUGCUGGUUUGACCCAUCACUGCUGGGAAUAGCUGCGUGGGUUAGGAAACCCUGCAGGAAGGGCUGCAGCUUGACACCACUGCGUCCUGUGGGGGGGCAGAAAGCACGGCCCAGCAGCCAAUGGUCGCCAGCAGCAAGUGGUGCUGGUGGGCAGCUCGGUAUUUCAGAGCUAUCCGAAGGGGUUGUGAUCCUUCGUACUUCAGUUCCACCACUCAGCCCUGUGUAAGAUGGAAAUAAAUUCCUCUCUGUUAGACUUUUCUGCUAGAGAGGAUUCACAAAAACAUCUUCACUGCUGUGAUGCUGAUAGUGGCUGGGCGCACCACUGUCCUUUCCUUCAGGCUUUCCAUUCCUUCAUCUUUCUCGCCGUUCCUUGUCCUCCAUCCAACACAAACAUCUCCCCCAUGGCAGAGGUGGGGCUUUGGGGAUUUGUUACCAGCAAACCCCUGCCUUAUGCAAGCAGCUGCUGUUUUCGAACUGUUUCCUCAUUUUGAAGCAAGAAAGGAUCGGCUGCUUGGCCAGAUGCCAAGUGGAGAUUUCUCACUUUUGUGGGGCUCUGGGAGAAGGGACGUCCCCCAGAAUCUCCUGCACCACCAGCCCUGAGCACAGCCAGAGCCCAGGGAACAAAAGUGCUGGCAGCAUCCUGUUGUCACUUUCGGGCUGGUACUUGUCGGUAGGCGUGGAUCACUAGUGCAAAGGAGGGUUUAGAAGGGAUCAGAUGGAUGCAAAAUAUCACCAUGGAGUCCCAGCGCUGCUUAUUUACACACUUGGCUUUUCCUAGAGGAAAACAGCCAGGCGUGUGCGUCCUGCUCCGAGAUGCUGACAGGAGACAUCCGCUCCAAGAGCUCCCCUCAGCUGGGACCUGAACGCGUGCCACGUGCCUGAUUUGUGUGGGACUCAGCGCUCCUAGAGCGAAAAGGGUUCGACAGCCAGAAAAGAUUUUGUCCUGUCUCAGUUAGCUAUGUCUUGAAUUCUGCAUCUGUCUUCCCUCGUGCUGUUUGGCCAUGCAAGGAAAAGUGUUCUGCUGCAAGUGGAGCUGAGUGUGGAGGGUGAAGAGCAUCACCCGCCCUUCCCUGGGGCUGCUCAUGUAGCCCCGCUGGCCACGUGGCAGCUCCCCAUCCUUGUCCCCUGAAGCUGAUGAAGCUGCCUCCACUCACACCUGGCCGAGACCCCAGGAAGCGGAGUUAUGGCUGUGCAUCCUCAUGGCUCAAUCUCUUCCCCUCAUUGCAUGGUGAUGGCACACUGCACCAGCUCCAGACAGGAGGCCUGCCAGGCCGGCUGUUUGCUCAAGGUUGCUUUUGGGAGCGGCCGGAGGUGCCCACAUAAAAGCUGCUGGGGAGCGGGCACGCUGCCCACCAGCAGGUUCUCUUUCUCUGGUUUGCUGUUUGCAAGCCUAAAGUAAGCUGUCGGUAGUGCAACGGCACAACUGCGUCUGGAGCAUGGCAUGGGCACUUGGGAACAACACGGCUUGCUCGUCCAUGUGCUCUGAAGGUUCAAACUCCAGGGAAAACCAGCCACAGCCAGCAGCAGCCCCAGAGCUGCUCCUUCUUCUACUGGUGAGCACUAGGAUCCCCCCAGUAACCACACCAGCAGUCCCUGCCCAGCGCUAACCAGAGAGAGACACUCGUCCCCUCCGUGUCCCACUUCCCGCUGUCGGCUCCAUGACACCGACCUGCAGGCAUUCUCCCUGAGCAGCAGCCAAGAGAAAGCAUUGUAAAGAGGAAACAUCGGGACUGAAUUACAGAGAUUAGGCAGAGGACAACAGGACAGGGGGAGUGACCAACCAGACAGGAUGAAAAGUAGCAAAGGAGGAAAGUUUAGAAGCUGGCGGGAUUUCUGAAACCGUGAGAUGACAGUGGCUGACAACACUGGAACAUGUGAACAAUCCACUGAAUGACAUCUUGCUGAUGAGGACAGCUUGGCUGACAGCAGGCUCCAUGGUAGGUGGGGGUGCCGACCCCAAACAGUAACUGAGCACCCACCAGCAGCAAAGAGCCCACGGGUCAGAGCACAGAUGCUUUGGGAGUGAAAGAAAGCCACACGCACAAGCAGGGCACAACAAGGAAUUCAUUCACUGCUUCCAUCAGAAGGCAGAUGUUCGUCCACUUCUUGGAAACCGGGGCCUCAAGCAACACAUGCAGAGCUUACUUGGGUAGAGAAAUGUCACAACCAAGAGUCCCCUCUUCCCUGUCCUUUCCCUGAGGGCAUCACAAUAAGGGGACCUUGAUGCCAGCAUGCAGCUGCCUUACCAGUGCUGUUUUAGUCACAAAUCACAGCACCAGCUCCAGCCGACUGGGGCUGGAUCUCCAAGUCCACGAGGAGCCCAUGUAGGGCACAGAAGCGAUGGGAGAUGGCUCCUCUGCACCCUUCUCCUUGCAGCUGCACUGUGGGACCCGACCCCACGUAGCAAGCCUGGCUCUCAGAGCUGCAGCUGGGCCAGCUUUGUUUACGAGCUCACAAAACGACGCGGAGUUCAACCAGCUCCUCGCUUUCGCCUCGCCUCUGCGAUCUGCAGUGCUUUAUAUGCGUAGGAACAAGUGAGCUCAUUUGCAGAGUUCCAGGAGCGGGUCAAAGAGCAACCUGAUACAGAGGUGGAAAAUAAGCAAGAGGGCUGGCUGCCAGCAGCGCAGAGUGGAGCUGAAGCUCUUGGGCCUGUCCUGAGUGUGCCAGCCCUCUCACCAUCCGAAUUUAGGGCACCUCUGGCCCAGCCAUUUCACCUCUUCCUUUUUAGGAGAAGUUUUACGUCUCAUCUGCCAUACUGCUCACAGCUGGGAGCAGCUACCUCACAGACCUGUGGCACUGAAGGGGUAAAGUAGGAAGAACAGUCAAAAAAUCCACCAAAAACAGAAACAGAAGUGGCUCAUUGCUCAUAAAGAGGCUUCUGGAUUUCUCCUGUGAUGUAGGUCACGGAUAGGCAGCACCUCUGGCACUGUCUCUCCCAGUUACAGAAGAGGCCCCUCUGCUGCAUGCAGCAGGAUGAGCAAAUGGCUGCUGGGUUAUCGUGGUGCUUCUUCAUCCUUCACAUGGUGCAUCCUCAUCCUCUCACCUGCCAGAGGUGCCAGGGCUGUCCACAUGCAUCAGCCUCCCUGCCAAGAAGGAGCUGGCAGCAGAGAGCUCGCUGCUUCACUGCUCCAGUCCUGUGCUUUACAGCCACAGCAUCAGUACAAGGAGAGGAAGAUGUGGAUGUGUAACAGCUAACUUCUGGAGUCUGAGUCUGUACGAGAGCCACGUUCUCCGUCCCUGGCUUGCAACCAUGAGGUUGUAUGAGAGAGCACAGCAAGAUUGAUGGAACAGUACACAGCACUCGUGCCUGGUUGCGCAGACUCCACUUAGCAUGUGGAGUCAUCUGGGGGUCCCCAGCAGAGAUCCUCCAACACUUCAGAUUCCUGCCUCAUUUCCUCAUACAUUUUUCAUUGCAAUUUCCCCAGCUGGACCCAGACUGGGGUCUCAUUUUGCAUUCCUGGAGCCAGAGAAGCUCUGAAACUUGGAGCCACCUUAAGCAGUACAGAUGAGGAAAGCCUGGACAAUUUGGAAAAAGCCAACUUUGAGAGAACCUCCUUAGAACUCUGUUUCCUGAGGAAUUCCCAGCUACACAAUAAGCCGUGACUUAUGGAACAGCCGGAUCUUGGCCUCUUUCAACAAUUGUAGCCUCUUGACCUGUCAGCUCAGGGGAGAAGAGACAACCUGCAGUGAUCUGCACGCACGUACAAGAACGAUACGCAGCCUGAAGAUCAGCCUGCAUGCCGUGAGACGCACGCUUGGCCAUCAUCCUGGGCCCAGGCUCCUGGUUUGACAGAUGGGGGAAGCCAUCCAAGACAUUGAUGAACGGGCCUCCAAGCACCCAUCGAGCUGCAUGCAGUCACAACAGGAAAGGGAAGCGGCUCGUGGUUGUGAGUUCCUACCAGGAGGGACAGCCUGGCCCCCGCCUCACGCACAGCUGCAGGAGCGCCGGCCAAGCUGCACUCCCUGCUCCCAGCCUGGAAUUUGAUGGAUAUCAAGGCCAAUUUCCCAUCAGACCCCAUACCAGGUGGCAGUCAGACCGUCUCUAGCCCCAGCUCUGCCAGGAGCCUUCUGGUGGGGGCAGAAAACAGAGGUACCCGUCAGAUAAUGCCAGUAGCCUUUGAGACACAAGAAGUUUGGUUUUAAUGUAGGUGUUACCCAAAAACUAGCGUGCUGUGAUGCAAUGGGCUCAGCGUGUGUGCGGCUACAGCAGAGGAGCACAACCAGACUGGUCUAGCACAGGGACAUGCAGAGCCCCACUGUGGAGGACAUUGCUCCAUUUCAGCUGAACUUCAGCUUCAGGGCUCUCAUAACAAGGCUGCCUCUACAAGAAGCUUUGCACAGGGCUCGUUAUUGCUCAUCUGCAGCUUUUCAGCCCUUCUCAGUAGGGGGACAAAGCCAUCUGAGCAGGAGCAAGGCUCCAAGGACAAAACAAUCGUCCUUUUUGUGUAAGCCUAGCAAAGCAGCUGGGGAGCGAGUGGGAGGAGAGGGAACGACUCCUGCCCCGUCUGCAGGGCUCCUCCAGCAAAACUGGGAGCUUCUUCACUCAGUGCAUGGCUGGGUCUGGUGCCAUGCAGCAGCAGUGUGUGAGUGGCCUAUAGAAGUCGUGUGUUAUUCAGCCUGAACUUGUCAGUGGCGAAAGCCAGAGAAAGAUUGAAAGGGGAGAACAAGUUUGGAGUGCUGAGAAGGGGAAAAAGGACUUCCCUCCAUCAGCAAGUUGCUAUUUACAAUGGAAAGAAGAGGUAGGACAUGGGGGCUAGGUUGGAAAUCCUGUUUCAUAAACAAGGCUAUCCAGGAUAAAGCCUGUCCAGGAAACGUGCCUGAGGGACGCAGGGGGCUCAGCUGGAAGCCCUACUGCUGACAGCCAUCCUCCCAUCAUGAGCCCUGCCAGCCUUGUACUCCUCCCACGUCAGGCUGGGGAAAUAUUUGCAAUUCCAGCAGCCCGUAAAGAAAGAGGUGACUUGAUGCAUGCAAAGCAACCAGAACAAUUCCCGUCUAUUUUGGAGAUAAGAGGCUGUUGUUCUACAGCUGGGUGCCGUAAUGUCUGACCCACGGAUGAAAGAGCAAAUGCUUUCCCUGCAGACCACUGGUGCUAUCGAGCUGCGAUGUCCUGUCUGAUCUCCACCCUUCCCUGAAGGCACAAGCUCCCAGCAGCAGCCUCUCUGCGUACAAAGUCAGGCUAGAUGCCUCCCUGCAGCCCUUCUGAGAAGGCUGGUCCCAAGCUGGAACCCAGAGGAACAUCUUGUCUGUGGGAAGUGAGCACAUGGCUCACGUUGGUAUGAGCGUGAGACUGCGCAAGGGAGAGCGUGGCCGCUGGCAUCCCAGCCCUGCUGCUGCACAUGGGCAGCUGCGUGGCCCUGGGUCAGCAUUCCUGGUAGGACAGGGCAGAGGCAGAAGGGAUGGCAUACAGUUCUCCACAAGAGUUACGAAAACAAGCCUUCUUCAGCAGUUAUUCACUCCAGACCCGACUUCAUCCACAUCCAUCCAAGCUGAUUGCCAAAUUUCCCAAAGCCUACAUUGUGCACCCCAGCAGAGAUGGGACUGGGGCCAGGACCCCGGCAGAUGAAGUUGCAGUUUGAACUUUCCUAGCGAGCUGUCCGUGCAGCACGCUGCAUAACCCCUCCAAACAUCUGGCACAUCGGCAUGGGCAGCUCCCCACCGCUGGACGGGAUAUUUUGGGAUCUAGGUCAGGGGAAUUAUUUCCAGCACUAGCAGCUGGAAACAGACUCAGAAAAUGUGAAAACAAACUUGGUUGGAGGCAAUUUGGUAGCCAUCUACAGUGCUCUGUUACUAUCUCCUCUACAGUGGGAAGGGAAAUGAAUUGUUUUCAGACCUGUUGAUUGCAUGGGUUUGCCUGCGCUUAUUAAUUACUCUGUAGGUAUGGGUGGCAUUAAGAAGCUAUAUUCCAUCAACCUUGAUGUCACAGCAUUAGUCAUGGCAGUUGGCAGUUCUGCCUCCCUUCCGCCCCAUAAUAUUUCCAAUGCCUAAUAGAAACACUCCUUAACCCUUGAAGAACUGCAGGGAAAUGCUUUGCAAACCCCCCCGCAUCCCACAGUGCGGCACGAGCAAGGGAGCAGCACCCAGAGCUACACACAAGUAGAGCUGCCCUUCCUGGCCACGCAACCCUCUGCAAGCUCAGCUUAGCUCUGCCAGUGAUGUAUUUACACUGCCAGCACUUUCUAGUUUAGAUUUUUCACCUUGGUAGCAUUACCCAGCUCUGGGCACUCCCUUUAGCUCUACAGUUAGAUCUUACAUGCCAUACAUUUUAACAGCAAGUGACCCAAAGCUCUGCCACCAAGUGCACUGGAUGUCUCCCAUGACGUGUGGUUGGGGCACGGAACGCAGGACAUGGGGAACUUGCAACUAUUUUGCACCAAGUUGCCUUGAAAUAAGCACACUUGGCCAUCUCCUUGACUCACUCCUUCAGCCUUCUCAAACAAACACACCUCCUCUUCUACCCCAUCAUCUGCCCAAGGGCCAGCCUUCCUCACAGGUUGUCUCACCCCUGUCUGUUCCAGCAGGGGCGUGAAGCAGCACCAAAUAGCUCCAAGUAAUGUAUUUAUGCUGAGCUCUGGGUGUGCGACUGCUCAUCUCGCUUCCCACCAGGCGACGAAAGAGGAAUCAAAGAGGCCUUGCUCAGGCUGGGGAGGAGCUGGAGCCCACUGCAGGGUUUCCAAACAGGUUAUCCUUGUGGAAGUCUGCCACUCUGUAAGCACUCGUAACUCAAAUCCUGGUUGCUACCGACAACGCAAAACUUUGCCGUUCCAGCUCUUCCUCUCCUUCCCAGCUGAAGCACUGGGCUGAAAAAGCAGCGAGGUGACACUCACCAUCUCCACAGCCAUUUUCCAGCCCUAGUGCUUGAAAAAUGAGGACAGCAAAAGCUGCCCAUUGAUAAAUGGGGUCAGGGCCGAACAAAGGGCAGGAGCCAUCACCCCAGGCAGAGCCAGCUGUGCCCUCAGGUGUGGUUGCUGUGCUGCAAGUGGGGCUGCUGCAGACAUGUGAGUGCCCCAGUUGCACACCUUGCUGAGUGCCCAUUGUGCAGACCCUGCCCAGCGAGCAUUCUCAUGCACACGGCUCCUUCUGCGUCCGUGCUGCCUCCAGGCACCUGCCAGGGGUAUUGCUGCUCUGCUGCUUUCCCUGUGGAAGGCACUCAGAGCAUCCCUGCAGGGCAGCUGCCUCCUCUCUCCUCCCUGUGUGAGCUCUGUGUGGGAUGGAGAUGGUGCAUGGAACAUGGAGAGCAAUGCUACAGGUGAUGCAUAUUGGAGAACCCAGCAAAACUAUGAUCUUUUCCCCACCACGUCACAGCUCUGAUCCUAACUGGAAUCUAACCUUUUCUGGGGUUUUAGAUCAUAAAGUACUUAGCUUUGGUAGGAAGCAAAGCAGCAGGCUGGAUGGACCGCUUCCCUGUAACCUGAACUGAAAACCUCUGUGGGCUGUGACCAGCAGCUCUCCUCUCCAUGAUCCUAUUAAUUUUCAGACCUCUAAGCAUCUGUAGCUCAGCUGAGACCAGAAAGCAAAUGCAGAAAUGUAAAGCUUCAUGUAGGAGAUAAGGACCCUUGCGCAGGAGAUAAGGCGCUGCGAGUGGAAGGAUUGUUUACUUCUCAGUGGCAGCAGACGGAGCUUUGGGGGUGAGCCAGGAAGGCCAUGGAAAGGGAUCCAGAGGGCUGAAAAGAGGUUUCUGCACAGAAGGGCUGGAAGUCAGCACGGGGCCAAGGUAACCGCAGCGAAAAUAGAAAGCAAAGGGCCAUCAAAGCUGAACAAAGUAAAAGGUGCAAGGUAGCAGAAAGUCAAAGCAGCAAAGGAGGCAGGUGGCUCGGCCAUCUGAGGAGGCUCUGCAGCUGUCCCCAUAACGCAGGCAGACCCCAGCCCUACAUCCCGAGCCGUGCCAAAGCAGUCUGGGUGCGUGAGUGCCCGGAACGCAGCACAGAUCUGUGGCCUUCGGCAGCAAGAGGCUCGUGUCUGGGAGGAAGUCUGCUCCCCUGGCUGCUAUUUUUACUCCUGCUCAUCUGGUUAGGGGUUAGGGCUUGGUUUCCUCAGCUCUCAGCUGCGUGCUUGGGAGACAAUAAGCGCAGGCACGAUCGAAACUGGCGGCUGCUGAAAGCAGAGCGACGAACCAGACAGCGCUACCUCUUCCUGCAUCCCAGCCUGCUCUUUUAUGUGUUGUUGUUUUUUUUUUUUCCUAUGCUUCUUAUCUCUCCUUGUGUUUUGUGCAAGCCAUUGAAAAGCAAGUCUAGCCCUGCACAUCCUGCCUGCUCCAUCCCAGGGGGCAAAGCACAUCGGGCUCUCCAGUGUGACCCAGCGGCGCUUCCCAGCGCUUUGCUGAGCAUCCCUCCCCAAGCACAGGACACUGCAGCCAAUUGUGUUCCCAUGCUUCGUUCCACAGGCACGGGGCUCCCUUCCCGCCUGCUCCUUCAGCUCCCAGCUGUGCCAGCCCUGUCUCCUUGCAGCUUUCACUGUGUAUUAUCCACCAGCAUCCUCCCAGGGCAGGUUCUCACGUCUUUACAGCCACCGGAGACAGACACGGGGGGUGCGGGGGGAGCUGUUAUCUGGGUAUCACUUGGCACCGACAGCCCCCGCAGCUGCCAGCCCACGUGGACGGGCAGAGCAGUCACUAACAUGUUGGUGGGGUUGCAACACUCCCCAGAGGCUCUAACGUACGUAGCCGCCUGCUUGGUGCCACGCAGAUAAAAAUGUGAUGACAAAAGUGUAAUUUUAGCACAUUGUUAGGAUAUUAACCCUACCGAUGAGGAUGAGCUGGAGCAGAUCUGUGCUUCCAGGUGAGCAGGAGGAAUAACCCGUGCUCAGCACCACGUCUGCUGCCAUGGGGUUACAGAGGCAGCACCCAUGCAUGGCAUGCUGCAUGGCUGGGCGCCUCCUGCAGCUCCUUAAAGGCUGCUGAAUGCAGGGAAUGAGCUCAGCAAGCACCCUUAGGGUCAGAGCCUGGGUGCAUGGCUGGCAUGCUGAGCCCAGGCUUGGAGUAAGACCAUGAGACAACUUUGCGGGCUCUCGGUCAGGAUGCAAAGCACCAUGAAAUGCAUCUGUGUUGCCUUCCAUGUGCUUUGGGUGCAGCAAGCCCAAAUGACACAUCCCCAGCCCUUUCCUGCACAAUCUCUUGCAAAGCUCCCCUUGGCACUGCCUGGAGAGCUGCAGAACAAACCAAUGUUGUUCCUGGCUGAUCGAGCUGAGGGGAGGACAAAGCCUGGGGUGAGAAGAAAACACAAAUGCUGACCUUCCCCAGCUGUGCUGUGUGCUCUGGGCUCGUCAUGGUCUGUGCAUAACCCUUUGUUUCCAUGCAUAGGGUUAGAGUUAUGAUCUGGGGAGCUUGGCUUUCAUUUCUCAAGCAGGAAUACAGUGACACUGAGUUGCUUGGGGCAAUAUUUGCUGGCACUAAUUCCCCAAAGCAAAGCUUUGCUUCUCAGAAACACUCCUGCUGGGGAUGCCCAGGUAUGCCCUUUUGUCAGGACUGCCAGCUGUAGAGUGAAAUCUUGCUCCCUGGCCCUGAAGCAGUGCUGUCCUCCGCUUCUUUUUCAGUUGGCAUUUUUUCCCCCGCAGACCUCUGAGCAGAGAUGAGCCACAGUGAUUGAGAGGUUUCUCUGGAUGGCAGUCUCUAGCUCUCAAAGAGGACUGUGAAGUAGUUUGCAGCAUCUGCCACGCUCGCCCUCCCAGCCAUUCUGUGCUACCAUCGAUCCUGAGGGCUACGUAAUUUAUUUAUUUUCAUAUUCUUCUGCAGCUCUUCCACAAAGAGCCCUUCAGCAACGCGUGCCUGACAGAUGGCCUCAGAGCACUGCUGUGUUUUAGCAGCUCUGCGUGCCCAGAGGCACAUUUAAACACACACAGCUUCCCAGCUGCCUCCUGCUGCUCGCUGCCACAUGAAGGACUGGUUUGAGGGGUGCUGGGACAACUGGGUCACAUCGCUGCUUGCAUCCUUACCUGCACAGCAGCUCCCAUCAGGACCCAGGGACCGUCCCCAGGAUGAGGAUGCAGUGUGACCCAUGCUGCAGGAUCGGCUUGCUGGGUGUAAACCCUUGGCGGGCACCCACUGCUUGGUUGCUCCUUAAUUGUUUCCAUUCAUUUGGAGUUUCCCCAAGCUGGAAAUCAUCGCCAGCAACCAGUGAGCUCCGAGAUGGAGGAGGGUGUUGCGGCAGGACAAUGGACAUCUCCCCAAAGACGCUCAAGUUACCAUGAAGCAGUCAGCGACACAAACAGAGAGAGCAAAAGAAGCUGUCCGGCACAUAUGUCAGUGGAAUUGUAUUACCACGCAGAUCCCUGCCAAGUUAGCCUACAGAGUUACUCAGGAGACUGGGAGAAUGAGGGACAUGGAGCACUCAUCUGGCAGAGAUGACACUGAGAGCAAUGCCCGGAGCUCUUGGCAAUGCACUGCAGCUCUGCCAGGAGCAGCUGAGCCCUGCCGGGUACCAGUGCCAGUGAUUUCCAUUGGAUCUGGUUCCCAGUGACUUCUGUGGUGCUGGCCAGACCGGUGCCUGUGUGACUGGGAUUUGUUCUUUAUUUCAGGAGGGCUUUUUGCUUUUUCAUCCCUGGCUCUUAACGCUCUGAACAAAUCAGAGAUUGGGAAUGAAGGACCUGCAUGGCGGGAGCAGCUCUUCCUCCUGCCACUUGUGGAAGCUGUCAGCAUUCACUUCUGUCAUAUUAAAUCUGCAUGGAAUUUGCACAUGAGGCUCCUAUAAGCACUCACGCACAGCAAGAUGUCUCAGGAUGCAGAGCAGAGGGGCGAAGUGAUCUGCCCAGCACUGUGGGGCUGCAUGGACCAGAGCAGCGCUUCCCCACAAUGGGACACUUCCAAAAACGAGAGCUUCCCUCGUCUCUCCCUGGUUCACCCAUCUGUUGUUACGGAUCCCGCCAGUAAUUUGGUACAGAACAUUGUCAGCAGCCAGCAAGCACUCUUGGUGUGUUGUUACAUUCGUGAAGAAUGAGCCCGCUUGCUGUGAUGGCUCCAUUCCUUUGGCUUUUGUUUUUCUGUCCCUUCUGUUAGUAAUCAAAUCGUGGUUUUGCUGUUUUCCUGCUUUCCACGUUGCACUCCACAAACACCCCCCCUAGAAACGAAGCACCCACUGCAGCAGCAGCAGCAGGGCUACAUUCUCCCUUCCAAACAAAUUGGGAGCAGGGAGCUGAAGCCAAAGAUACCCACAUUCCCCCUGGACAGAACAUUCCAGAAACCUCAGCAUUGCUGAGCUACCGUCCUCACAGCAUCCUCAUCCUCACCCCAAAGCCCUGCAGACACAAAGCAGACACCUUUCUAGCAGCACAGACAGAAUCCCUGCCCCCAGGUCCUGCUGUCCUUCCCCUGCUCUCCUCUGCUGCUUUUCUCUCAUAGCUCUGCUGCAUACCAGCUGCAAAUACCAGUGCAAAUGCCAGCUGCAGGGAAAGGUAGAAGCUCUUCCAUGAAGGCAGCGAGGAGCACAGCUGGACCAGGAUGGGAUGAGGACUUGCAGUUAUAUUGUGCUCGUAGUUACCUGCCAUAAAUCUGGCACAAAGCAGCUGUCGCCAGUGAUUCAUGCUGGGGAUAUAUCCAGCCCUGGCUCAAGAUCUCCCAUGGACACAGCGGCCAGACACAGCAAGGGAACUCACUUUGCCUCUCGUGCUCUGUACACACCUGUUUCACCCAAAGGGAUGAAGUCAUUCCCCUGAACUGCAAACCCCAGGAGCACCUGUGUUUGGACAGCCACUUUCCUGGGAGAAAGGGAACAAACUGUGAAAACCUUCUAAGUAAGUGCUAGAGAAACUUCUCAUCGAGCGCAACCUGGAAUGAUUUCCCAGCUGUGCCACGAAAGGGUUUCUAAAUCAGAUUGGAAAAACACAAGGGAUGCAAACCUGCUUAGCAUGUACGGUGUAGGGCACAGCUAAGACAUUUCAUAAACAGAGAAUUCAUGUUCACAUUCUUCAAAAGGCUCAUGGUAGCAAUGAAUAAUUUAAGAUUGGGAGAGAAAAAAGAUCUGGAGCAAGAGUGCUACCACAGGCUCAGAAUAAUACCUAGCAUGCACAUUCAGAUUUUGCUCAGUGCAAUUUUAGGCAUGAUAGUUAAGGAGCAGUAUGAGUGCUCUUCCUUUCACAGAUGUGGAAACUGAGGCGUGGAGAAGGGAAGUUGCUUGCUCAGUUGGCUAGCAGGCCAGUGGUGAGGCUGAGAACAGAGCCUGCAUGUGUUCUGUGUCUUUUCGGACCCAUGAGUCAGUAUCAAUCAUCAACAUUUUUCAAAGACUACAAACGGGCCUAUCUCCUUUCUGCUAAUGAAUUCAUGUAUGAGAGACAGAGAGAGAGAGAGAUGAAAAAAUAUAGGGAGGAAUGACCUUUAAAACAGUCACAUUGUAUGAAAAGCCCAUUUUCAUCUUGUUCUACCCAUUUCCUCACCACACUCUCAGGCUAAAUAGCUCCUAGGGGAGAACAGAAGCCAAUAGCUUUCCCUCAAGCUACAAAAUGUGAAAUGUCUGCACAGACCUACCCAGACGUCCAGAGGGAAAUAACUAUGGCAUACAUCCUGCAUUCAGUUAUUGCACAGGCCAGCCACGGUGUUAAUAAAGCCCUGAAUCUGUGCAGGAAAA
This is a long non-coding RNA of Numida meleagris (helmeted guineafowl), 14670 nucleotides long. RefSeq lists it as uncharacterized. The transcript is spliced from 8 exons. Lineage: Eukaryota; Metazoa; Chordata; Aves; Galliformes; Numididae. The record is from RefSeq and is a predicted model, not a curated record.